Molecule: long non-coding RNA, 1489 nt
Organism: Mus musculus (house mouse)
Lineage: Eukaryota; Metazoa; Chordata; Mammalia; Rodentia; Muridae
Product: predicted gene, 31719
Exons: 4
Source: RefSeq, a predicted model, not a curated record
UCUCAGAAAAGAGAGAGAGAGAGAGAGAGAGAGAGAGAGAGAGAGCGAGAGAGAGAGAGAGCUGUGAGGGGCAGAGACUGGAGCAGGGGCCUGCGGGACUUAGGUGUAAGCCAGUGCACGUGACUUUAAUUCCAGUCCUCUGGAGGAGGAGGCAGGUAGAUCUGUUUGAGGUCAGCCUGAUCUACAAGGAGAGUCCCAAGCCAGCCAGGGCUACAUAGUAAGACCCUGUCCCCAUCUGACUACUUCUCAUUCAUUUGCAUCUGUCUCCACAGCCCGCUGUUAGAUUCAAACCCUAGCUCUGACUCAGGUGUCAUCAGGUGGACACAUGUCACCAGAGCAGUGUUUGGUGCUCAGUCAGCACUUCUUGCUGGUGUGUCUGUCAUUAGCCUGUUUGUCCUGCUGCUCUUCACUGACUGCAAACCCUGACUGAAGCAUCCCAUGGGAGGUGGUCAGAGAAAUCCUGGUGUGUGCCACUUCUCCCAGACAGAGAACAAUCUGACGUGAGAGUCUCCACUGAAAUGGAGACUGCUACCUAGCCAGCAAUGUAGGUGGUCUCUUGGAGCUGAGAGUGGUCUAUGGAGACAUCGACCUUACAGCUGCAGAGAGUUGAACUCUGCCAAAUGAAUUCUUCCCCAAAGGCUCUGCCAAGGAGCUGAGCUACACAGAUUCCUUCUGCUCAGCCUUGGAAGCGCUGUGCAGGGACCCAGGCUGUAUCCAGGUGGGCCCUGGCCUUCAGGGUAGUGAUGCUCGCCCUCCUGGGAUCCCAGAAGUCCCUGUCCCCACCCCACCCCAGCCUAGAGAGCCUCAUGGAAAUGGUGCAAUUGGAUCCAGAUGGGCCUGGUAAGGCUCCAGGGCUUCAAGGGGGCCCUGAAAACGGCCAAGAUUUUCUGUAUAAAACAAAGUUACACAAGCCAAGAUACUUGGAGAAUCCUUUAGGAAGACCCAUGGCCCCACUUCUGCCUAAGCUGUGGAUUGCUGCCUCUUAUGAAAAAUAAGACUUUGCUAAUUCUUUCUAGAAGGAUCCAAAAGAGGUCUUUCAACUUCAGAGUUUGAAGUUGGUUUGUUUCUAAGAAGAAGAAGGACCAUGAGGAAGUGGCAGGAUACCAGAGGUUGCUGCAGGAGGGCAGGCAGGGGGUGUCUGGACAUCAGAGGGCAGUGUCCAGACCCACCAAGAGUGCAAGGCAAGGUGGCAGGGUGGGAGGAAUGACGGGGGGGGGGGUGAUGUUUACAACACACCUCCAUGAGGUCUUGGGAUCUCCAAGGGCUCAGGGAACUUCAUUCCCAGAACCCAGGGAACAUGUCCCCAACUCAGGUCAGGGGCCACAAAACCCAAAAAGCAACAACAACAAAAGCACUGGAAACCCCUCUUCAUGUCUUCCCUUUGACCCUCAUAAGGCCCAUACUGCAGUAAGUACUAUAUCACGGCCUGCCUUCCUGCCUCAUAUUCAUCAGCUUAGGGCUGGAGAGAUGGCUCAGUGGUUAAGAGCAC